CGAACGGCCCCGCCCCAAGUUCCCUGGAACCGGACGCUACAGAGGGUGAGAGCCCCGUACCCGGGCGGCGGCCCGCCGCGUGUGAAGCCCCUUCGACGAGUCGAGUUGUUUGGGAAUGCAGCUCCAAUCGGGAGGUAAAUUCCUUCUAAGGCUAAAUACCGGCCGGAGACCGAUAGCGCACAAGUAGAGUGAUCGAAAGAUGAAAAGCACUUUGAAAAGAGAGUCAAACAGCACGUGAAAUUGUUGAAAGGGAAGCGCUCGCGGCCAGACCCGGCCGCCUCGGAUCAGCCUCCGCAUGCGUUGGCGCACUCCGCUGCGGCCGGGCCAGCGACGGCUCGGGCGGUUGGACAAAGGCUUCGGGAACGUAGCUUCCCCCCGGGGAAGUGUUAUAGCCCGUUGCGGAAUGCAACCAGCCCGGACCGAGGACCGCGCUUCGGCAAGGACGCUGGCGUAAUGGUCGUGAGCGGCCCG
This 471-nucleotide ribosomal RNA is filed under the name Zwackhiomyces coepulonus. RNAcentral's name for it is "LSU rRNA". It matches the Rfam family "Eukaryotic large subunit ribosomal RNA", at positions 167 to 651 of the family's 3401-position model. The record is from RNAcentral. Lineage: Eukaryota; Fungi; Ascomycota; Collemopsidiomycetes; Collemopsidiales; Xanthopyreniaceae.